UUAGUUUUUUUAAAGAUGAAACAAAGAGGUAAUUAUUUAUGUGGCACACGUCUCCAGUACGCUUGUGUGUGAUGUGUUCAUAAUUUACAUAGAUUCCCAACCGAGUUAAGUAUAUACAUACAAAUAUAACACUAUAUGUUUUUCGUUAUUGUUUCUGAGGCUCCAAGGACUCCUACGGCCUAUAAAUGCCGAUGGAAAUAUAAAAUUAACAACAGAUUUUUUUUAAGUCGUCACGCGCCGGUGUCCUAGAUCAUCAGUCAACUUUGAAAACUGCUCAAAAUGUUCGCGAAACUGUUCAUUCUGUUCGCCGUCCUCGUUGUAGCUCUGGCAAGACCUCAACAGAUCUACUCUGGUUACGGCUACAACAAUUACGGAUAUACGUAUCCAGGCUACGUCGGUUAUCCCGGAUACAGUCCCCUGGCCUAUGGAUCGUACGGUGGCUAUGCUGCCUCUCCAUACAACCUCGGCUACGGCUACGGCUACUAAUUGAUAUUUUCUUAAGCACCUCUGUUAUUAAUUCAAUAAAAAUAUUCUAAAAAACAUUAUGAUUCUACUGUUUAUAUCAUUUGAAAUAUUGAUUAAUAAUUUUCGUGGAUUACUUUCGAUUUACAAAACGCCUUUGUUUUUGAGUGUUUUUUUUUCUCAUGUCAACUACCAUUUUGUGAAUGUUUGCAGAUAAGAUUCAAGAGGUACGAAUCAUGAAUCGGUUUUCUUAUUUGAUAUUUUUUUUAUUUUGAGUUUGAAAUAAAUUGUACUUUUAAAAA
Bombyx mori (domestic silkworm) is the source of this 764-nucleotide RNA transcript. RefSeq lists it as uncharacterized. Lineage: Eukaryota; Metazoa; Arthropoda; Insecta; Lepidoptera; Bombycidae. The transcript is spliced from 2 exons. The record is from RefSeq and is a predicted model, not a curated record.